RNAcentral lists this ribosomal RNA (371 nucleotides) under uncultured eukaryote. RNAcentral describes it as "partial 18S ribosomal RNA". It matches the Rfam family "Eukaryotic small subunit ribosomal RNA", at positions 592 to 975 of the family's 1831-position model. The record is from RNAcentral.
CAAUAGCGUAUAUUAAAGUUGUUGCAGUUAAAAAGCUCGUAGUUGGAUUUGUGGCGGUUCCUGUGGUCCGAUUUCGGUACUUUCGGGGACUGCCAUCCUUGGGUGGAUCCUGUGUGGCAUUAGGUUGUCGUGCAGGGGAUGCCCAUCGUUUACUGUGAAAAAAUUAGAGUGUUCAAAGCAGGCUUACGCCGUUGAAUAUAUUAGCAUGGAAUAAUGAGAUAGGACCUUGGUACUAUUUUGUUGGUUUGCGCACCGAGGUAAUGAUUAAUAGGGACAGUUGUGGGUAUUCGUAUUCCAUUGUCAGAGGUGAAAUUCUUGGAUUUCUGGAAGACGAACGAAUGCGAAAGCAUUUACCAAGGAUGUUUNCAUUA